Molecule: non-coding RNA, 393 nt
Filed under: Cavia porcellus (domestic guinea pig)
Lineage: Eukaryota; Metazoa; Chordata; Mammalia; Rodentia; Caviidae
Description: Eukaryotic large subunit ribosomal RNA
Rfam family: Eukaryotic large subunit ribosomal RNA
Source: Rfam by way of RNAcentral
UUUCCUUCAGGAUAGCUGCUGCUCUUGUAGUCACAUAGUUUUAUGCAGCAUAGUAGGUGACCAGAGGUCUUGGAGAGGGAACUGCCUCAGCCUUCCUCUCAUUCAUUAAAGGAAUGAGAAGCCCAGCUUGCUGAUACAGAGUAGGGCACUGAAUGACAGCGUGUAAUGUUCCACUUUGGCCAGCCCAAGGGAGGGUGCAAGAUGAACAGAAUGUCAUUGCUUUUCAGAUUCCAGGAAAGACUUUAGUUGCCACAGAUAGCAGGGUAGUGGCCAUCAAAGUCAGAAUUUGCUGAGGAGUGUGCAACGCUUCAUCCUGUGGAUGUAGCCAACCCUGAAAGUGGAUGGCACUAAACUGUCAAACUCACACCUGACACUCUAGAGCAGUGAUGGUGA